AACGCACAUUGCGCCCCUUGGUAUUCCAUUGGGCAUGCCUGUUCGAGCGUCAUUUAACCCUUCAAGCACUGCUUGGUGUUGGGCGUUUGUCUGCGAAAUCAAUGUAGACUCGCCCCAAAAACAUUGGCAGCGGCUUGCCAGCCUCUCGCGCAGCACUUUGCGCUCAUCGAGGCUCUGGUGAGCUUGCGUCCAUCAAGAUUACCCCCCAUUUGACCUCGAAUCAGGUAGGGAUACCCGCUGAACUUAA
This 247-nucleotide unclassified non-coding RNA is filed under the name uncultured fungus. Its description in RNAcentral is "partial contains 5.8S ribosomal RNA, internal transcribed spacer 2, and large subunit ribosomal RNA". Lineage: Eukaryota; Fungi. The record is from RNAcentral.